This 253-nucleotide ribosomal RNA is filed under the name uncultured bacterium. RNAcentral describes it as "partial 16S ribosomal RNA". It matches the Rfam family "Bacterial small subunit ribosomal RNA", at positions 524 to 776 of the family's 1533-position model. The record is from RNAcentral.
UACGUAGGGCGCAAGCGUUAUCCGGAAUUAUUGGGCGUAAAGAGCUCGUAGGCGGUUUGUCGCGUCUGCCGUGAAAGUCCGGGGCUCAACUCCGGAUCUGCGGUGGGUACGGGCAGACUAGAGUGAUGUAGGGGAGACUGGAAUUCCUGGUGUAGCGGUGGAAUGCGCAGAUAUCAGGAGGAACACCGGUGGCGAAGGCGGGUCUCUGGGCAGUAACUCACGCUGAGGAGCGAAAGCGUGGGGAGCGAACAGG